GACGAACGCUGGCGGCGUGCUUAACACAUGCAAGUCGAACGGAAAGGCCCUGCUUUUGUGGGGUGCUCGAGUGGCGAACGGGUGAGUAACACGUGAGUAACCUGCCCUUGACUUUGGGAUAACUUCAGGAAACUGGGGCUAAUACCGGAUAGGAGCUCCUGCUGCAUGGUGGGGGUUGGAAAGUUUCGGCGGUUGGGGAUGGACUCGCGGCUUAUCAGCUUGUUGGUGGGGUAGUGGCUUACCAAGGCUUUGACGGGUAGCCGGCCUGAGAGGGUGACCGGCCACAGUGGGAGUGGGAUAGGGCCCAGACCCCUACGGGGGGCAGGAGGGGGGAAUAUGGCACAAUGGGGGGAAGCCUGAGGAAGCAACGCCGGGGGGGGGAGGAGGGCCUUGGGGUUGGAACCCGCUUCCGCCUGUGACGAAGCGGGAGGGACGGGAAUGGGUAAAGAAGCACCGGCUAACUACGUG
This 468-nucleotide ribosomal RNA is filed under the name uncultured bacterium. RNAcentral's name for it is "partial 16S ribosomal RNA". It matches the Rfam family "Bacterial small subunit ribosomal RNA", at positions 28 to 507 of the family's 1533-position model. The record is from RNAcentral.